Molecule: long non-coding RNA, 2541 nt
Organism: Magnolia sinica
Lineage: Eukaryota; Viridiplantae; Streptophyta; Magnoliopsida; Magnoliales; Magnoliaceae
Exons: 2
Source: RefSeq, a predicted model, not a curated record
CCAUUCCUAAGAAUCCUUUUUUUCUUUUUUGCCUUUUGUUUUUUGUUUGUUUUAAAUUGGCUUAUUUUUUGCAUUCUUACACGACAAAUAAGGCAAAGGUGGUAUUUUUAAACCAUUGUCCUCAAUCUCGACCUUUUAGAGGCUUAGGCAAUAGCUGCUAUACUUGCGAGAGGAGUCUGCAAGACCCAUAUAUUUUCUGCUCUCUUUUCUGCAAGGUGCAGCAUCUGGUGAGAGAGGAAGGCGGGCUGUUGAAAUACCUCCGCGACUGUGAAUUCCUACCAUUCCCGGAAGAGGAAGGCUGGCGACGGACCACUGUUUUCUGUAUACGGGUAAAAUGCCAGGACAGGUUAUUUAACAUGAUCAUUGAUGACAACAAUGCAAUGAACAUUGUUUCUCAAGAGAUGAUUGAUAAGCUCAAAUUACCAACUGAAAGGCAUCCAAAACCAUAUAAGGUUGCGUGGGUCGACAACACUGCCAUCCCCGUGAGUGUUUGGUAUCAUUUAAAAUUGGCAUAUAUGAUGAUGAUAUUUGGUGUGACAUAAUUCCGAUGAAUGUCACCCACAUCCUUCUCGGUCGACCUUGGCUCUUUGACCUAAAGGUACAAAGUGACGGUGAAGCUAAUACGCAUACUUUCCUAUGAUGAGAUCAUUGUAUCCUUCUUUGCCUGUUGCACCCUGUGUCACCUUCAUCCAUGCCUUCAUCAUCGACAUUGGUUGCUCUUUCAAACUCCCAUGUUCUCACCAUGCGGAAGUUUGAACAAGAGAGCAAGGAGAAAGGCGUAAUGUUCACCCUAGUCACAAAAUAGAUGCAAGAGCCUAUUAUUGACUAGGAUGACCCUAUUCCUGAUGAAAUCAAAUCUAUGUUGCAUGACUUCCAAGAUUUGGUCCCCAAUGAUCUGCCUGAGGAGUUGCCUCCAUUGCGGGAUAUUCAGCACGCUAUAGGUUUGCUUCCCGAAGAAUCCUUCCCCAACUUACCUGCAUACCAGAUGAGUCCCGUCGAGCAUGCUGAGUUGAAGCAUCAGGUUGACGAGUUGCUUAAAAAGGGUCACAUCUGAGAGAACUUAAGUCCAUGUGCAGUGUUAGCCCUCCUUACUCCCAAGAAGGAUGGAAGUUGGUGCAUGUGUGUAGACAACAGAGCUAUUACUAAAAUCACAGUGAAAUACUGUUUCUCCAUUCCUCGGCUUAAUGAUGUGUUGGGCUUGAUGCCAGGUGCUAGCGUCUUCUCCAAGAUUGAUCUUCACAAUGGAUACCACCAGAUUCACAUCCGACCUGGUGACGAAUGGAAGACGACAUUUAAGACGAAGGACAGUCUUACGACUGGCUGGUUAUGCCAUUCGGUCUCACAAACACGCCUAGCACUUUCAUGCGUGUCAUGACCUAGUUGUUGCUAUCUAUUUUGACAAUUUUCUUAUCUAUAGUAACUCAGUAUGUAUAGAAAGGAGCAUCCCAAUCACCUAAAUCUUCUCUUUAGAGGCCUUUGUUGUGAGCGUUUUUUCAUUAACUUUAAAGAGUGUACCUUCAUGAGUACAUCAAUGGCCUUCUUAGGGUACAUUGUCUCGUCGCAAGGUGUCGAGGUGGACCCUGCCAAGGUGAAAGUCAUUGUUGAUUGGCCGACACCUACCACUAUCUCUGAAGUUCGGAGUUUCCAUGGCCUCACUACAUUUUAUAGACGUUUUGUAUGGAACUUUAGCAACAUCAUGGCCCUGAUCAUCGAUUGUAUGAAACACAAGGAGUUUCGAUGGUCAAGUGCAGCAAGACAACCAUUUGAUAGAAUCAAAUGUAAGAUGACUGAUGCUCCAGUCUUGCGCCUUCCGAACUUUGAGAAGGUAUUUGAGGUGAUUUGUGACGCCUCUAACAUCCGCAUUGGUGGAGUUCUCAGUUAAGAGGGCCAUCUAAUAGCUUUCUUGAGUGAAAAGCUCUCUGAUGCAAAGCAGUGGUACUCCACUUAUGACUUGGAAUUUUAUGCCGUUGUCCAGACUCAACGGCAUUGGCGUCACUAUUUGGUUGGCAACGAGUUUGUCUUGUAUUCUAAUCAUGGAGCACUCAAGUAUCUAAACUCAACAGAAAAUGAGUGCUCGUCGUUUCAAGUGGAGCGCAUACCUUCAAGAGUUUUCUUUUGUCAUUCGUCACAAGGCUGGUACGAACAAUUAGGUUGUUGAUGCAUUAAGUCGUUGUGUGCAUCUAUUGUAAUCGAUGAUGGUCAUCCUUCUACGAUUUGAAGAGAUAUGGCUUGAGUAUGUGGGUUACAAGGAUUUUGAACAUGUUUAUACAGGCGUUCUUAGUGGAGAGCUUGUGAGACACUCACAUUGCAGCAUUCAUGAUGGUUACUUGUUCUUGGGAACACAACUUUGCCUACCCAAUACAUUCAUCCGCGAGUAUGUUGUGAGGGGGUUACACGCCGGUGAGUGUAGUGGACACUUGAGCCGUGAUAAGACCCUAGCUCUCAUUGGAUAUUGAUACUUUUUGCCUUGUAUAAAAUCAGAUGUUACAAAGAUCUAUUGGUUUUGUAGGGUUUACCAACUUGCUAAGGCUCAAAAGAAAA